AAACGACUCUCGACAACGGAUAUCUCGGCUCUCGCAUCGAUGAAGAACGUAGUGAAAUGCGAUACUUGGUGUGAAUUGCAGAAUCCCGUGAACCAUCGAGUCUUUGAACGCAAGUUGCGCCCGAAGCCAUUAGGCCGAGGGCACGUCUGCCUGGGCGUCUCGCAA
Molecule: ribosomal RNA, 165 nt
Filed under: Alangium chinense
Lineage: Eukaryota; Viridiplantae; Streptophyta; Magnoliopsida; Cornales; Cornaceae
Also listed under: 5 other names
Description: 5.8S ribosomal RNA
Rfam family: 5.8S ribosomal RNA
About the family: 5.8S ribosomal RNA (5.8S rRNA) is a component of the large subunit of the eukaryotic ribosome.
Source: RNAcentral